This 502-nucleotide ribosomal RNA is filed under the name uncultured bacterium. Its description in RNAcentral is "partial 16S ribosomal RNA". It matches the Rfam family "Bacterial small subunit ribosomal RNA", at positions 30 to 522 of the family's 1533-position model. The record is from RNAcentral.
AUUGAACGCUGGCGGCAGGCUUAACACAUGCAAGUCGAGCGGGGUGAUGGUGCUUGCACUAUCACUUAGCGGCGGACGGGUGAGUAAUGCUUAGGAAUCUGCCUGUUAGUGGGGGACAACAUCUCGAAAGGGAUGCUAAUACCGCAUACGUCCUACGGGAGAAAGCAGGGGAUCACUUGUGACCUUGCGCUAAUAGAUGAGCCUAAGUCGGAUUAGCUAGUUGGUGGGGUAAAGGCCUACCAAGGCGACGAUCUGUAGCGGGUCUGAGAGGAGGAGCCCCCACACUGGGACUGAGACACGGCCCAGACUCCUACGGGAGGCAGCAGUGGGGAAUAUUGGACAAUGGGGGGAACCCUGAUCCAGCCAUGCCGCGUGUGUGAAGAAGGCCUUAUGGUUGUAAAGCACUUUAAGCGAGGAGGAGGCUCUUUUGGUUAAUACCCAGAAUGAGUGGACGUUACUCGCAGAAUAAGCACCGGCUAACUCUGUGCCAGCCGCCGCCGAA